Molecule: ribosomal RNA, 497 nt
Filed under: uncultured bacterium
Lineage: Bacteria
Description: partial 16S ribosomal RNA
Rfam family: Bacterial small subunit ribosomal RNA
Source: RNAcentral
GAUGAACGCUGGCGGCGUGCCUAAUACAUGCAAGUCGAGCGAACAGACGAGGAGCUUGCUCCUUCGACGUUAGCGGCGGACGGGUGAGUAACACGUAGGUAACCUACCUAUAAGACUGGGAUAACUUCGGGAAACCGGAGCUAAUACCGGAUAAUAUUUCGAACCGCAUGGUUCGAUAGUGAAAGAUGGCUUUGCUAUCACUUAUAGAUGGACCUGCGCCGUAUUAGCUAGUUGGUAAGGUAACGGCUUACCAAGGCAACGAUACGUAGCCGACCUGAGAGGCUGAUCGGCCACACUGGAACUGAGACACGGUCCAGACUCCUACGGGAGGCAGCAGUAGGGAAUCUUCCGCAAUGGGCGAAAGCCUGACGGAGCAACGCCGCGUGAGUGAUGAAGGUCUUCGGAUCGUAAAACUCUGUUAUUAGGGAAGAACAAACGUGUAAGUAACUGUGCACGUCUUGACGGUACCUAAUCAGAAAGCCACGGCUAACUACGUG